UACGUAGGGCGCAAGCGUUAUCCGGAAUUAUUGGGCGUAAAGCGCACGUAGGCGGUUUUGUAAGUUAGAGGUGAAAGCCCGGGGCUCAACUCCGGAAUUGCCUUUAAGACUGCAUCGCUAGAAUUGUGGAGAGGUAAGUGGAAUUCCGAGUGUAGAGGUGAAAUUCGUAGAUAUUCGGAAGAACACCAGUGGCGAAGGCGACUUACUGGACACAUAUUGACGCUGAGGUGCGAAAGCGUGGGGAGCAAACAGG
This 253-nucleotide ribosomal RNA is filed under the name uncultured bacterium. RNAcentral describes it as "partial 16S ribosomal RNA". It matches the Rfam family "Bacterial small subunit ribosomal RNA", at positions 524 to 776 of the family's 1533-position model. The record is from RNAcentral.